AACGCACAUUGCGCCCCUUGGUAUUCCAUGGGGCAUGCCUGUUCGAGCGUCAUUUGUACCUUCAAGCUCUGCUUGGUGUUGGGUGUUUGUCUCGCCUUGCGCGUAGACUCGCCUUAAAACAAUUGGCAGCCGGCGUAUUGAUUUCGGAGCGCAGUACAUCUCGCGCUUUGCACUCAUAACGACGACGUCCAAAAGUACUUUUUACACUCUUGACCUCGGAUCAGGUAGGGAUACCCGCUGAACUUAA
This 247-nucleotide unclassified non-coding RNA is filed under the name uncultured Didymellaceae. RNAcentral describes it as "sequence contains ITS2". Lineage: Eukaryota; Fungi; Ascomycota; Dothideomycetes; Pleosporales; Didymellaceae. The record is from RNAcentral.